AUGCGGCGCGCGCCUUCCUUCGAAGGAGGGGGUGCGCCAAUUCCACCGAUGGCCCCUGUCCAACCAGGGACACCGGAUAACCUGAUGGAAGCGCUACGAGGCGCCUCCAUUAUGGACGAGCACCGUGUCCUUAUGGGGACAGUGAUGGAGAAGGUUCAGUCCGCCAAGAGCGGACUAAAUGAGGCCUGCAACAACCUGUUGACAGGUUUUGAGGCGUCGCUGUUGGCCGCGACCUCACAUGCUGCCGAAGUCUCUGAACUGAAGCAGAGGCUGGAGCGGACCGAGAACGAGCUCCGCGAGGUGAAGAUUCAACUCCACGAGAAGCAAGGGGCGGCGACCGAGGUUGAGGCCCUAAAAAAUGCCCUGAUCGAAGCUGAGGGGAAGGCUGUCCAGCAGCAAGCCGCCCGUAAGAAGCUCAAGGCCCGGGUCGACGAGAUCCGGCAGGAGCUCCAGGACGCAGUGAAGAAUAGUGAGGCUUUGGAGCGCGAAGCGUCGGUUUGA
RNAcentral lists this ribosomal RNA (501 nucleotides) under Triticum aestivum (bread wheat). RNAcentral describes it as "partial small subunit ribosomal RNA". Lineage: Eukaryota; Viridiplantae; Streptophyta; Magnoliopsida; Poales; Poaceae. The record is from RNAcentral.